CAGGGGAAUGCCGAAAACCCUUUUGCAACAGAGUAGGCG
RNAcentral lists this non-coding RNA (39 nucleotides) under unclassified sequences. RNAcentral describes it as "DUF805b RNA". It matches the Rfam family "DUF805b RNA". Rfam says of the family: Bacteroidetes, Chlorobi (1 example), Proteobacteria. Lineage (Flavobacteria) The record is from RNAcentral.